This 497-nucleotide ribosomal RNA is filed under the name uncultured bacterium. Its description in RNAcentral is "partial 16S ribosomal RNA". It matches the Rfam family "Bacterial small subunit ribosomal RNA", at positions 28 to 507 of the family's 1533-position model. The record is from RNAcentral.
GAUGAACGCUGGCGGCGUGCCUAAUACAUGCAAGUCGAGCGAACAGACGAGGAGCUUGCUCUUCUGAUGUUAGCGGCGGACGGGUGAGUAACACGUGGAUAACCUACCUAUAAGACUGGGAUAACUUCGGGAAACCGGAGCUAAUACCGGAUAACAUGUUGAACCGCAUGGUUCAACAGUGAAAGACGGUCUUGCUGUCACUUAUAGAUGGAUCCGCGCCGCAUUAGCUAGUUGGUAAGGUAACGGCUUACCAAGGCAACGAUGCGUAGCCGACCUGAGAGGGUGAUCGGCCACACUGGAACUGAGACACGGUCCAGACUCCUACGGGAGGCAGCAGUAGGGAAUCUUCCGCAAUGGGCGAAAGCCUGACGGAGCAACGCCGCGUGAGUGAAGAAGGUCUUCGGAUCGUAAAACUCUGUUAUUAGGGAAGAACAAAUGUGUAAGUAACUAUGCACGUCUUGACGGUACCUAAUCAGAAAGCCACGGCUAACUACGUG